This 471-nucleotide ribosomal RNA is filed under the name Triticum aestivum (bread wheat). RNAcentral describes it as "partial small subunit ribosomal RNA". Lineage: Eukaryota; Viridiplantae; Streptophyta; Magnoliopsida; Poales; Poaceae. The record is from RNAcentral.
AUGGUGCCAAGAGAUACGACUGUCCUGAGUCAGCCGAUAAUGCAAGUUAUGGGUGAUCUAAACCUGUUGGGUGUUGUGGAAUGGCGACUGGUUAUCUGUUCUAUGGCGGCACAUUUAUUUCAGAACAUGCAAAUUGGGCCGUAUGAACUAGGUUGUGCUGCUAUUGUUUUCCCUAAUUGCUCUAAACAUUCCCAAUGGAAAGUUGCAUGGCCACUCAGUUCCAAAAGGAAAACAUCUGCUGGCAGGCCCUGUUUUAUGCCAUGGCCAUCAUUUGCUUGCUCUCCUGACGGAGUUACCCUGAAGCACACAUGGAUGCUACCACAAGUCAUUUAUGUGAUGAAGAGUUUAUCUGGUAAUCUGAAUUCUCCUAGAGCUUUCUCAAGGUAUUUUCCAAAUCUGCAACUGAAGUCCAGAUUCAGUCAAACAAAUGUCCACUUGAAGCUUCCAUGGCCAUCUGAUUCUUGCAAUUAA